AGAGCGAACGCUGGCGGCAGGCUUAACACAUGCAAGUCGAGCGGGCGUAGCAAUACGUCAGCGGCAGACGGGUGAGUAACGCGUGGGAACAUACCUUUUGGUUCGGAACAACACAGGGAAACUUGUGCUAAUACCGAAUAAGCCCUUACGGGGAAAGAUUUAUCGCCGAAAGAUUGGCCCGCGUCUGAUUAGCUUGUUGGUGAGGUAACGGCUCACCAAGGCGACGAUCAGUAGCUGGUCUGAGAGGAUGAUCAGCCACAUUGGGACUGAGACACGGCCCAAAACUCCUACGGGAGGCAGCAGUGGGGAAUAUUGGACAAUGGGCGCAAGCCUGAUCCAGCCAUGCCGCGUGAGUGAUGAAGGCCCUAGGGUUGUAAAGCUCUUUUGUGCGGGAAGAUAAUGACGGUACGCAAGAAUAAGCCCCGGCUAACUUCGCGCCAGCAGCCGC
This 448-nucleotide ribosomal RNA is filed under the name uncultured bacterium. RNAcentral's name for it is "SSU rRNA". It matches the Rfam family "Bacterial small subunit ribosomal RNA", at positions 26 to 518 of the family's 1533-position model. The record is from RNAcentral.